This 70-nucleotide transfer RNA is filed under the name Aneurinibacillus soli. It matches the Rfam family "tRNA". Rfam says of the family: Transfer RNA (tRNA) molecules are approximately 80 nucleotides in length. Their secondary structure includes four short double-helical elements and three loops (D, anti-codon, and T loops). Further hydrogen bonds mediate the characteristic L-shaped molecular structure. tRNAs have two regions of fundamental functional importance: the anti-codon, which is responsible for specific mRNA codon recognition, and the 3' end, to which the tRNAs corresponding amino acid is attached (by aminoacyl-tRNA synthetases). tRNAs cope with the degeneracy of the genetic code in two manners: having more than one tRNA (with a specific anti-codon) for a particular amino acid; and 'wobble' base-pairing, i.e. permitting non-standard base-pairing at the 3rd anti-codon position. Lineage: Bacteria; Bacillati; Bacillota; Bacilli; Caryophanales; Paenibacillaceae. The record is from Rfam by way of RNAcentral.
GCAGGUAUAGUUCAACGGUAGAACGGCAGCCUUUUAAUCUGUUACGCAGGUUCGACUCCUGCUGCCUGCU